This 511-nucleotide ribosomal RNA is filed under the name uncultured bacterium. Its description in RNAcentral is "bacterial SSU rRNA". It matches the Rfam family "Bacterial small subunit ribosomal RNA", at positions 997 to 1509 of the family's 1533-position model. The record is from RNAcentral.
UUUCCAGAGAUGGAUUGGUGCCUUCGGGAACUCUGAGACAGGUGCUGCAUGGCUGUCGUCAGCUCGUGUUGUGAAAUGUUGGGUUAAGCCCGCAACGAGCGCAACCCUUAUCCUUUGUUGCCAGCGGUCCGGCCGGGAACUCAAAGGAGACUGCCAGUGAUAAACUGGAGGAAGGUGGGGAUGACGUCAAGUCAUCAUGGCCCUUACGAGUAGGGCUACACACGUGCUACAAUGGCGCAUACAAAGAGAAGCGACCUCGCGAGAGCAAGCGGACCUCAUAAAGUGCGUCGUAGUCCGGAUUGGAGUCUGCAACUCGACUCCAUGAAGUCGGAAUCGCUAGUAAUCGUGGAUCAGAAUGCCACGGUGAAUACGUUCCCGGGCCUUGUACACACCGCCCGUCACACCAUGGGAGUGGGUUGCAAAAGAAGUAGGUAGCUUAACCUUCGGGAGGGCGCUUACCACUUUGUGAUUCAUGACUGGGGUGAAGUCGUAACAAGGUAAGCGUAGUGCU